UGGGGAAUAUUGCACAAUGGGCGCAAGCCUGAUGCAGCCAUGCCGCGUGUAUGAAGAAGGCCUUGGGUUGUAAAGUACUUUCAGCGGGGAGGAAGGUGUUGUGGUUAAUAACCGCAGCAAUUGACGUUACCCGCAGAAGAAGCACCGGCUAACUCCGUGCCA
RNAcentral lists this ribosomal RNA (162 nucleotides) under uncultured bacterium. Its description in RNAcentral is "partial 16S rRNA". It matches the Rfam family "Bacterial small subunit ribosomal RNA", at positions 355 to 510 of the family's 1533-position model. The record is from RNAcentral.